Molecule: ribosomal RNA, 253 nt
Filed under: uncultured bacterium
Lineage: Bacteria
Description: partial 16S ribosomal RNA
Rfam family: Bacterial small subunit ribosomal RNA
Source: RNAcentral
UACGUAGGGGGCAAGCGUUGUCCGGAAUCAUUGGGCGUAAAGGGCGCGUAGGCGGUCAUUUAAGUCAGUGGUGAAAACCCAGGGCUCAACCCUGGGAAUGCCAUUGAAACUGGGUGACUUGAGUGCAGGAGAGGUAAGUGGAAUUCCCAGUGUAGCAGUGAAAUGCGUAGAUAUUGGGAGGAACACCAGUGGCGAAGGCGACUUACUGGACUGUGUCUGACGCUGAGGCGCGAAAGCUAGGGGAGAGAACAGG